This 211-nucleotide long non-coding RNA is filed under the name Homo sapiens (human). Its description in RNAcentral is "non-protein coding lnc-FBXO27-2:1". Lineage: Eukaryota; Metazoa; Chordata; Mammalia; Primates; Hominidae. The record is from RNAcentral.
ACCCAGACAUGGUGGGACUAUAGCUGUGCCUAUAAUCCCAUGUAUUCGAGAGGCUGAGAUGGGAGGAUCACUUGAGGCUGGGAGGUCACAGCUGCAGUGACCUGACUCAUGCCUGCAAUCCCAGCACUUUGAGAGGCUGAGGCAGGAGGAUGGCUUGACUCCAGGAGUUUGAGGCUAAAGUGAGCUACGACAGAGUGAGACCUGGUCUCAA